CCUACGGGAGGCUGCAGUGGGGAAUAUUGCACAAUGGGGGGAACCCUGAUGCAGCAAUGCCGCGUGAAGGAUGAAGGUUUUCGGAUUGUAAACUUCUUUUGUACGGGACGAAGAAAGUGACGGUACCGUAAGAAUAAGCCACGGCUAACUACGUGCCAGCAGCCGCGGUAAUACGUAGGUGGCAAGCGUUAUCCGGAUUUAUUGGGUGUAAAGGGCGUGUAGGCGGGAAUGCAAGUCAGAUGUGAAAACUAUGGGCUCAACCCAUAGCCUGCAUUUGAAACUGUAUUUCUUGAGUGCUGGAGAGGCAAUCGGAAUUCCGUGUGUAGCGGUGAAAUGCGUAGAUAUACGGAGGAACACCAGUGGCGAAGGCGGAUUGCUGGACAGUAACUGACGCUGAGGCGCGAAAGCGUGGGGAGCAAACAGGAUUAGAUACCCCGGUAGUC
This 443-nucleotide ribosomal RNA is filed under the name uncultured bacterium. Its description in RNAcentral is "partial 16S ribosomal RNA". It matches the Rfam family "Bacterial small subunit ribosomal RNA", at positions 338 to 795 of the family's 1533-position model. The record is from RNAcentral.